This 621-nucleotide ribosomal RNA is filed under the name uncultured Nitrososphaerota archaeon. RNAcentral describes it as "bacterial SSU rRNA". It matches the Rfam family "Archaeal small subunit ribosomal RNA", at positions 76 to 700 of the family's 1478-position model. The record is from RNAcentral. Lineage: Archaea; Thermoproteati; Nitrososphaerota.
ACGUGGCAUACGGCUCAGUAACACGUAGUCAACAUGCCCAGGGGACGUGGAUAACCUCGGGAAACUGAGGAUAAACCGCGAUAGGCCAUGAUUUCUGGAAUGGUUCAUGGCCGAAAUCUAUAUGGCCCCUGGAUUGGACUGCGGCCGAUCAGGCUGUUGGUGAGGUAAUGGCCCACCAAACCUGUAACCGGUACGGGCUCUGAGAGGAGGAGCCCGGAGAUGGGCACUGAGACAAGGGCCCAGGCCCUAUGGGGCGCAGCAGGCGCGAAAUCUCUGCAAUAGGCGAAAGCUUGACAGGGUUACUCUGAGUGGUUCCCGUUAAGGGGAUCUUUUGGCACCUUUAAAAAUGGUGCAGAAUAAGGGGUGGGCAGGUCUGGUGUCAGCCGCCGCGGUAAUACCAGCACCCCGAGUGGUCGGGACGAUUAUUGGGCCUAAAGCAUCCGUAGCCGGUACUGCAAGUCUUCCGUUAAAUCCACCUGCUUAACAGUUGGGCUGCGGGGGAUACUACAGCGCUAGGAGGCGGGAGAGGCAAGCGGUACUCAAUGGGUAGGGGUAAAAUCCGCUGAUCCAUUGAAGACCACCAGUGGCGAAGGCGGCUUGCCAGAACGCGCUCGACGGUGA